AGUAUUCUAGUUGUUUUUGUGUCAGACGAUAUGAAUAUUGUUCCAGUAGCUAAGAUUGUUAUGUCUACUUUUACAAUCUCCAAGUCAAGGGAUAUGAUGAGUUGCUUUAUGAUAUAGCGCUGCUAGUUAUCCUUUGAGUUGUUUGGGCAGAUUCUCUUGUUGCCUAAUGUUGCUUUUGGUAGGAACUUGGCAUCAACCUUAGAGUUUUGAUUUUAGACUGAUGGCCGGUUGUAAAAAUCUAUUAAUUUUUUUGUUGAUAUUUUUACUUUUCUCUGGUUAAUCUGAUAACUCUUCUGUUCACUGAUGAUGAUGAUGCGAUCUUGCUUGUAUUUUGCUGGUUACUACCAAGAAAUAUCACCAUAAAGCUGAGCAUUUCUGGCAUUUAAACCUUUCAGCAUCGGCUUAAUGCAUCUAGUGAGAAUUUUGCUUUAUUCAAAGUGGUCUUCCCUACUAAAGGUGUACUCUUGCCUGUCUUUUGCUGAUUGUGUUAUGGUGUUAGCAAAAUAUUACAAAUUACUUGAAAGUAACUGGAACUCAUGUGAUAUGAUGUCUUUUUGAUGAAUCUGGUAACCACUUUGCUUGUUUGAACUGAAUUUUCUUCUAGAAUUAGCACUUUCAUGUCUCCUCAUUUUCCUUCGAAUCAGCGCUUUUGUAUCUGCUCAUCACUUCUAUCCAGACAAAGUGUGGUUCUUCCCUAAAAAGACAGUAUAUUUCUCAGAUUGCUGUAUCAUGAGCUUCAUUUUUUUUACGUCCCACUUGAACUAAUGAUAAUCUUGGUCCUUCUGGACUCUAGUUUUGUCCUUUUUCCAUUGGUGUCCUUAUUUUCUGACUCUAUGCUUCAUAGAUUGUAACCUAUUGUAGGCAUAAUUUCUUUAAGUUACUACUAGUAUUUGGGAAUUUUCUCAUCUGAUCCAUCUUUAUUGUGCUUUUGACUGCAUAGCCUUGUUAAUCUUCUGCUCUCUGUUUCCAUUAGAAACCCUGUUCUAAAGUGUUCAUUUAUUUUUCUUUAAGCCCAACUAGCAUGUGAUGUUAAAAUAUGAGGGCUCUAAAAGGAAUAAGUUAAUCCGUCAGGCUCUCCUUUCUGUAUUAUCCAAGGAUACCUUCUACUUAGGUGGGACAAGUUCAAUUUGAACUUCAUAAAAGCUGUAUUUUAUUUAAUGGUGGAUCAGAUGCUUUCUAAAGUCCUAUUGUAUUUUUCUGACAUGGAGCUACAUUAACUUUCUUGCACAUCUUAUAACACUCAUAUAGGCUUCCUAUUGUAUUUUUCUGACGUGGACCUACAUUAACUUUCUUGCACAUCUUAUAACACUCAUAUAGGCUUCUUAUUGUAUUUUUCUGACGUGGACCUACAUUAACUUUCUUGCACAUCUUAUAACACUCAUAUAGGCUUGUAUUGGAACCUUUAGGGUCAUGAGUCUUAGAAAUCGUCCUGUCACUAUUGUGAAAGAAACUGAAUAUGAUGCCCUUUAUCAGGUUCUGAUGGAAUUUCAAAGCAAAAGUAAUUGAUGCCCC
Molecule: long non-coding RNA, 1512 nt
Filed under: Musa acuminata (dwarf banana)
Lineage: Eukaryota; Viridiplantae; Streptophyta; Magnoliopsida; Zingiberales; Musaceae
Description: long non-coding RNA (MACU_LNC001555)
Source: RNAcentral